CAAUAGCGUAUAUUAAAGCUGUUGCAGUUAAAAGCUCGUAGUUGGAUCUCGGGUUUGGGCUUGUGGUCCACCACGUGUGGCUACUGCUCGUCUCGACCUACCUCCCGGUUUUCCCUUGGUGCUCUUAAGUGAGUGUCUCGGGUGGCCGGAACGUUUACUUUGAAAAAUUAGAGUGUUCAAGGCAGGCGCAUGCCUGCAUAAUGGUGCAUGGAAUAAUGGAAUAGGACCUCGGUUCUAUUUUGUUGGUUUUCGGAACUCGAGGUAAUGAUUAAGAGGGACAGACGGGGGCAUUCGUAUUACGGUGUUAGAGGUGAAAUUCUUGGAUCGCCGUAAGACGAACUACUGCGAAGCAUUUGUCCAAGAAUAGUUUUCUAUUAAUCAAGAACGAAAGUCAGAGGUUCGAAGAUGAUUAGAUACCAU
Molecule: ribosomal RNA, 420 nt
Filed under: uncultured eukaryote
Lineage: Eukaryota
Description: SSU rRNA
Rfam family: Eukaryotic small subunit ribosomal RNA
Source: RNAcentral